GGGGGGAGGCCGGAUCCUGGGCUGUGUCCCGGCGCCCUGUGCUCCUGGAGUCGCGCUCUUGGCCGCGCAGCUCCCU
Molecule: microRNA precursor, 76 nt
Filed under: Canis lupus familiaris (dog)
Lineage: Eukaryota; Metazoa; Chordata; Mammalia; Carnivora; Canidae
Also listed under: 1 other name
Description: mir-8799 microRNA precursor family
Rfam family: mir-8799 microRNA precursor family
Source: Rfam by way of RNAcentral